GAUGAACGCUGGCGGCGUGCCUAAUACAUGCAAGUCGAGCGAACAGACGAGGAGCUUGCUCCUCUGAUGUUAGCGGCGGACGGGUGAGUAACACGUGGAUAACCUACCUAUAAGACUGGGAUAACUUCGGGAAACCGGAGCUAAUACCGGAUAACAUGUUGAACCGCAUGGUUCAACAGUGAAAGACGGUCUUGCUGUCACUUAUAGAUGGAUCCGCGCCGCAUUAGCUAGUUGGUAAGGUAACGGCUUACCAAGGCAACGAUGCGUAGCCGACCUGAGAGGGUGAUCGGCCACACUGGAACUAGGACACGGUCCAGACUCCUACGGGAGGCAGCAGUAGGGCAUCUUCCGCAAUGGGCGAAAGCCUGACGGAGCAACGCCGCGUGAGUGAAGAAGAUCUUCGGAUCGUAAAACUCUGUUAUUAGGGAAGAACAAAUGUGUAAGUAACUAUGCACGUCUUGACGGUACCUAAUCAGAAAGCCACGGCUAACUACGUG
This 497-nucleotide ribosomal RNA is filed under the name uncultured bacterium. RNAcentral describes it as "partial 16S ribosomal RNA". It matches the Rfam family "Bacterial small subunit ribosomal RNA", at positions 28 to 507 of the family's 1533-position model. The record is from RNAcentral.